AUACGAAGGGGGCUAGCGUUGCUCGGAAUCACUGGGCGUAAAGCGCACGUAGGCGGAUCAUUAAGUCGGGGGUGAAAUCCUGGAGCUCAACUCCAGAACUGCCUUCGAUACUGAAGAUCUCGAGUCCGGGAGAGGUGAGUGGAACUCCGAGUGUAGAGGUGAAAUUCGUAGAUAUUCGGAAGAACACCAGUGGCGAAGGCGGCUCACUGGCCCGGUACUAACGCUGAGGUGCGAAAGCGUGGGGAGCAAACAG
Molecule: ribosomal RNA, 253 nt
Filed under: uncultured prokaryote
Description: partial 16S ribosomal RNA
Rfam family: Bacterial small subunit ribosomal RNA
Source: RNAcentral